Molecule: long non-coding RNA, 259 nt
Filed under: Elaeis guineensis (African oil palm)
Lineage: Eukaryota; Viridiplantae; Streptophyta; Magnoliopsida; Arecales; Arecaceae
Description: long non-coding RNA (EGUI_LNC008588)
Source: RNAcentral
GGCGUGGGUGCAAAGUGGGCGCCAUAUGUGGCGCCAAUCCUCUCUCAAGUAAGAGUCCUUCUUUGAUAAGUAGUAGAUUGAUUCAAAAUAUAUUUGAAUUAGGAGUUUUAUACUUGUUGGAUCAUGAGAAUCAUCUAUAAAUAGAGAGGGUCUCUGCCUAUGGAUGCAUAAGAGACAGCAUAGCAAUCAAAAUGAGAAAAAAGAGAAAGAGAGAGGCGUGAGAGCUAGAGGGCGCAGCUUCCCCCUUGGCGUGUCCUCC